This 336-nucleotide ribosomal RNA is filed under the name uncultured bacterium. RNAcentral's name for it is "SSU rRNA". It matches the Rfam family "Bacterial small subunit ribosomal RNA", at positions 26 to 380 of the family's 1533-position model. The record is from RNAcentral.
AGGAUGAAUGCUGGCGGCGCGCCUAACACAUGCAAGUCGAGCGGAAAGGCCCUUCGGGGUACUCGAGCGGCGGACGGCUGAGUAACGCGUAGGAACAUGCCCCAAAGUGAGGAAUAACUGCCCGAAAGGGUAGCUAAUGCCGCAUAUGAUCUUCGGAUUAAAGGAUUUAUCCGCUUUGGGAGUGGCCUGCGUACGAUUAGAUAGUUGGUGAGGUAAUGGCUUACCAAGUCUACGAUCGUUAACUGGUCUGAGAGGAUGAUCAGUCAGACUGGAACUGAGACACGGUCCAGACUCCUACGGGAGGCAGCAGUGAGGAAUCUUCCACAAUGGGCGAAA